UCCUACGGGAGGCAGCAGUGGGGAAUAUUGGACAAUGGGGGCAACCCUGAUCCAGCCAUGCCGCGUGUGUGAAGAAGGCCCUCGGGUUGUAAAGCACUUUCAGCGAGGAAGAACGCCUAGCGGUCAAUACCCGCUAGGAAAGACAUCACUCGCAGAAGAAGCACCGGCUAACUCCGUGCCAGCAGCCGCGGUAAUACGGAGGGUGCAAGCGUUAAUCGGAAUUACUGGGCGUAAAGCGCGCGUAGGUGGCUUGAUAAGCCGGUUGUGAAAGCCCCGGGCUCAACCUGGGAACGGCAUCCGGAACUGUCAAGCUAGAGUGCAGGAGAGGAAGGUAGAAUUCCCGGUGUAGCGGUGAAAUGCGUAGAGAUCGGGAGGAAUACCAGUGGCGAAGGCGGCCUUCUGGACUGACACUGACACUGAGGUGCGAAAGCGUGGGUAGCAAACAGGAUUAGAUACCCUGGUAGUCCACGCCGUAAACGAUGUCGACCAGCCGUUGGGUGCCUAGCGCACUUUGUGGCGAAGUUAACGCGAUAAGUCGACCGCCUGGGGAGUACGGCCGCAAGGUUAAAACUCAAAUGAAUUGACGGA
This 588-nucleotide ribosomal RNA is filed under the name uncultured bacterium. RNAcentral describes it as "bacterial SSU rRNA". It matches the Rfam family "Bacterial small subunit ribosomal RNA", at positions 337 to 917 of the family's 1533-position model. The record is from RNAcentral.